Oncorhynchus tshawytscha (Chinook salmon) is the source of this 2256-nucleotide long non-coding RNA. NCBI's taxonomy places the organism in Eukaryota, Metazoa, Chordata, Actinopteri, Salmoniformes, Salmonidae. The record is from Ensembl.
UGUCAGUUGGAUAAAGGUAUUAGAAUAUUUUGUACUAAUAAAAUGUACCAACCCUGUGCGGCUGCAACAGCAAUACAAACGGGUUAUCGUGCCUAUCGUAUCAAAUAACCGACAUAUGGUGGUUUUUACCUGCGGAAAAAUAAACCAAGUGAAUGUCAUGACGUCAUAAGUGUCGAAUUCCACGAAUUUUUGUCAAGACAAAGGGGGCUUUCUACACUGCAGAGAAUUGUUCAGCACUUGCACUCUAAACAGGACAUAUCAGGACAUCUUGACGGAAUAAAUCAAGUAGAAGGAUGUCAGGUAGAGCAGUCAGGCCAGACGAGGGUCUGAUGAUGAUGCAGGAGCUUGAAGACCGUCUGAAGGAGCAGAUUGAUAAACUAGAGCACGUCCGCCUCUCUGCUACUGAGCUCAAAGACAACCUUUCUGGGAUCAAUGGUGAUCUGAACCAAUCUAUUGCUGACCAUCUGGACUGGCUGGGUCAGCUGUCAGAGCGAGUGGAGACCCUUCAGAUGAACACAUCCGUCUUUGUUCAGAUGAACCCGAAGCCUCGUACCUGGGGAGUGAAGCAGGGCUCCAGGCGCGCUCCACGCUGGGGCCGACUCCACAGUCUGGCUGAUGAUGCCCAGUCUGAGUAUGGCUGGUCCCCUAUCCGCACGCGACGCAACAGCGACGCUGCCUCCGAGAUGUCCUGUGCCUGGUGACCUGGUAGCUCAGAUGGAUCAGUUGGUUGGACUUGGAUCAGGGUGCUGGCAAUACCAGGGUUGUGUGUUUGAAUUGCGUGGGACACGUACUACACUGACUGUGUUAACUGCAAGUUGCUUUGGAUAAAUUAGUCUGCUAAAUGACCAUACUAAAAGACAUGAUUACAACAAACUAACUAAGCUGCAGACAAACAUACAUUUUAUAUUAUUUCAAUGCCACAAUAUUAGUCGCUAUCCACUCACAUUGCUGUAAUUGUAUCGAAUAGUUGAACAUUUCACUGCAGUGUAUUAUUUGAGAAAUUGACUUGUAUUAUGCAAUAUAGUUAUUGUUUGUAUUUUGUGUUCUUCUGUGGUGCUUUUCUGUCUCUUGUAAAAUGUUUGUUGAUAUUACUCAAUGUUGCUAUUAUUCAAAGUUAUUUGAUUUUGUUUUGGUCUUCUCAUUGUUGUGAUCUUGUGCAGCUGCCAGCUAUAACCAAUGAUGAAGCCACAACGCCUCCAUCUUGGCACUCUCCCUAGCAUUGUACAUUUCUUUUUAGUGGAAGCUAUAGAAAUGCAUUUAUUAAUGUCUACAUUCAUUUUUGCCACAUUUAUUCUAUUACAGACACAUGAAUGCAUACUUUAAAAUUAGAUUAUGUGAGCUAAUCAUUUAAAACAAAUAUUUUAACAUUUUCCCAAUAGCUAAUAGUAUAAUUUUUUUUAGCUUACUAAUGAUACUGUCCCUACUACAACAACAAAAAUACUUAUACCGAACCAAAAUAUAAACGCAACAUGCAACAAUUUCAAAACAUGUAGAUCAUAUAAGGAAAUCAGUCAAUAUAAAUAAAUAAAUAAUUUGGGCCCUAAUCUAUGUAUUUCACGACUGGGAAUACAAAUAUGCAUCUGUUGGUCGCAGAUACCUUUAAAAAAAAACUAAAGGAAAGGAUCAGAUAAUCAGUAGACCAGAUAAUCAGUUUGUAUCUGGUGUGACCACCAUUUGUCUCAUGCAACGUGACACAUCUCUUUUGCAUAGAGUUGAUCAGGCUGUUGAUUAUGGCCUGUGUAAUGUUGUCCCACUCUUCAAUGGCUGUGCGAAGUUGCUGGAUAUUGGCAGGAACUAGAACACGCUGUCGUAUACAUCGAUCCAUAGCAUUCCAAACAUGGGCAAUGGGUGACAUGUCUGGGUAGUAUGCAGGCCAUGGAAGAACUAGGACAUUUCCAGCCUCCAGUGAUGUAAAGUACCAUAGUAAAAAUACUUUAAAGUACUACUUAAGUAGUUUUUUUGGUGUAUCUGUAAUUUACAAAAAGAAUUAUGUUAAAAAACAACAACUUUUACUUCACUACAUUCCUAAAGAAAAUAAUGUACUUUUUACUCCAUAUAUUUUCCCUGACACCCAAAAGUACUUGUUACAUUUUGACAGGAAAAUGGUCCAAUUCACACACUUAUCAAGAGAACAUCCUUGGUCAUCCCUACUGCCUCUGAUCAGGCGGACUCACUAAACACAAAUGUUUGUAAAUUAUGUCUUUAGUGUUGAAGUGUGCCCCUGGCUAUCCGCUAAUUAAUAAAAAAUAAAUACAA